AACGAGGCCGACCUGCGGCUGAGUUACCUGCGGAGGGAUCAUUACAGAGAUUGAUGCAUCAAGUGCAUCACCUCCAACCCCUUGCAAAAACAACUAUUAUACGUUGCUUUGGCAGUGUUUGUGCUGCCAGAGGAUCAAAAUAAAAUCAGCUUUUGAUGUUGUCUGAGUAAACUAUGAAUUGUUUAAAACUUUUAGCAAUGGAUCU
Molecule: unclassified non-coding RNA, 205 nt
Filed under: soil metagenome
Description: partial contains 5.8S ribosomal RNA, internal transcribed spacer 2, and large subunit ribosomal RNA
Source: RNAcentral